AGUUGCGAAGGCGGCUCUCUGGACUGUAACUGCCGCUGAGGCACGAAAGAGUGGGGAGCAAACAGGAUUAGAUACCAUGGUAGUCCACGUUGUAAACGAUGAGUACUCGGUGUCGGGGGUUACCCCCCUCGGUGCCUCAGCUAACGCAAUAAGUACUCCGCCUUGGAAGUACGCUCGCAAGAGUGAAACUCAAAGGAAUUGACGGGGACCCGAACAAGUAGCGGAGCAUGUGGUUUAAUUCGAAGCAACGCGAAGAACCUUACCUAAGCUUGACAUCCCAAUGACAUCUCCUUAAUCGGAGAGUUCCCUUCGGGGACAUUGGUGACAGGUGGUGCAUGGU
RNAcentral lists this ribosomal RNA (340 nucleotides) under Clostridioides difficile. RNAcentral describes it as "bacterial SSU rRNA". It matches the Rfam family "Bacterial small subunit ribosomal RNA", at positions 711 to 1049 of the family's 1533-position model. The record is from RNAcentral. Lineage: Bacteria; Bacillati; Bacillota; Clostridia; Peptostreptococcales; Peptostreptococcaceae.